RNAcentral lists this ribosomal RNA (758 nucleotides) under uncultured archaeon. RNAcentral describes it as "bacterial SSU rRNA". It matches the Rfam family "Archaeal small subunit ribosomal RNA", at positions 101 to 862 of the family's 1478-position model. The record is from RNAcentral.
UAGUCAACAUGCCCAGGGGACGUGGAUAACCUCGGGAAACUGAGGAUAAACCGCGAUAGGUCACUACUUCUGGAAUGGGUAAUGACCCAAACCUAUAUGGCCCCUGGAUUGGACUGCGGCCGAUCAGGCUGUUGGUGAGGUAAUGGCCCACCAAACCUGUAACCGGUACGGGCUCUGAGAGGAGGAGCCCGGAGAUGGGCACUGAGACAAGGGCCCAGGCCCUAUGGGGCGCAGCAGGCGCGAAACCUCUGCAAUAGGCGAAAGCUUGACAGGGUUACUCUGAGUGAUUUCCGUUAAGGAGAUCUUUUGGCACCUCUAAAAAUGGUGCAGAAUAAGGGGUGGGCAAGUCUGGUGUCAGCCGCCGCGGUAAUACCAGCACCCCGAGUGGUCGGGACGUUUAUUGGGCCUAAAGCAUCCGUAGCCGGUUCUACAAGUCUUCCGUUAAAUCCACCUGCUCAACAGAUGGGCUGCGGAAGAUACUAUGGAGCUAGGAGGCGGGAGAGGCAAGCGGUACUCGAUGGGUAGGGGUAAAAUCCGUUGAUCCAUUGAAGACCACCAGUGGCGAAGGCGGCUUGUCAGAACGCGCUCGACGGUGAGGGAUGAAAGCUGGGGGAGCAAACCGGAUUAGAUACCCGGGUAGUCCCAGCUGUAAACGAUGCAGACUCGGUGAUGAGUUGGCUUUAUGCCAACUCAGUGCCGCAGGGAAGCCGUUAAGUUUGCCGCCUGGGGAGUACGGUCGCAAGACUGAAACUUAAAGG